Molecule: ribosomal RNA, 437 nt
Filed under: Capreolus capreolus (Western roe deer)
Lineage: Eukaryota; Metazoa; Chordata; Mammalia; Artiodactyla; Cervidae
Description: partial 12S ribosomal RNA
Rfam family: Bacterial small subunit ribosomal RNA
Source: RNAcentral
GGAUUAGAUACCCCACUAUGCUUAGCCCUAAACACAAGUAAUUAAUAUAACAAAAUUAUUCGCCAGAGUACUACCGGCAAUAGCUUAAAACUCAAAGGACUUGGCGGUGCUUUAUACCCUUCUAGAGGAGCCUGUUCUAUAAUCGAUAAACCCCGAUAGACCUCACCACCCCUUGCUAAUACAGUCUAUAUACCGCCAUCUUCAGCAAACCCUAAAAAGGAAUAAAAGUAAGCACAACCAUCAUACAUAAAAACGUUAGGUCAAGGUGUAACCUAUGAGGUGGGAAGAAAUGGGCUACAUUUUUUAAUUUAAGAAAACUUAACACGAAAGUUAUUAUGAAAUUAAUAACUAAAGGAGGAUUUAGCAGUAAACUAAGAAUAGAGUGCUUAGUUGAAUUAGGCAAUGAAGCACGCACACACCGCCCGUCACCCUCCUCA